GCCGCGACUCGUAGAUGGGGAACCAACAUAUUCGGUAAAUCGUAUUCUGGACUCGAGACGGAGGGGACGCGGAUUUCAGUACCUGGUGGACUGGGAGGGCUACGGUCCGGAGGAGAGAAGUUGGGUACCUGCUAGAGACAUCCUGGAUCACUCCCUUAUUGAUGAUUACAAUCGACAGAUCGUUGUGGUUGUGUUUCGGUGUGUUCCUGUGCUCGUGCCUCGUCUGUGACUCUUCUGGAUUUCGUCAGUACUUCGUGUUUCCUGGAUUUCAUCAGUUCCUCGUGUCUUCUGGAUGUUCCACUUCCCUGGGUUUCACUCGAGCACGUCUUCACCUGUCUUCACCACCGGAUCGCCAUCUCGUCCCUGCUUCACCCACCACCUGAGUGUUGUCCCCGAUCUGUGUCUUACAUUUGUCAUUUCUGACCAACCAAUAAACUGAGUUUAUUUGCA
Molecule: non-coding RNA, 450 nt
Organism: Pimephales promelas (fathead minnow)
Lineage: Eukaryota; Metazoa; Chordata; Actinopteri; Cypriniformes; Leuciscidae
Source: RefSeq, a predicted model, not a curated record